Molecule: ribosomal RNA, 432 nt
Filed under: uncultured bacterium
Lineage: Bacteria
Description: bacterial SSU rRNA
Rfam family: Bacterial small subunit ribosomal RNA
Source: RNAcentral
CUGGUGAUUAGAGUAGCGGACUGGUGAGUAACGCGUGGGUGACCUGCCUUGAGGAUGGGGAUAGCCGUUAGAAAUAGCGGGUAAUACCGAAUAAUGUUGCCUGGUUGUGACCGGGUAAAGAAAGGGGCUAUGGCCCCGCCUUAAGAUGGGCCCGCGUCCCAUUAGCUAGUUGGUAAGGUAAAGGCUUACCAAGGCGAUGAUGGGUAGCCGGCCUGAGAGGGUGAACGGCCACACUGGGACUGAGAUACGGCCAGACUCCUAUGGGAGGCAGCAGCUAAGAAUAUUCCGCAAUGGACGAAAGUCUGACGGAGCGACGCCGCGUGGAUGAGGAAGGCCGAAAGGUUGUAAAAUCCUUUUGCGGAUGAAGAAUAAGCAGUGGAGGGAAUGCCAUUGUGAUGACGUUAGUCCGUGAAUAAGACCCCGGCUAAUUAC